Molecule: ribosomal RNA, 667 nt
Filed under: Suillus luteus
Lineage: Eukaryota; Fungi; Basidiomycota; Agaricomycetes; Boletales; Suillaceae
Description: eukaryotic LSU rRNA
Rfam family: 5.8S ribosomal RNA (bases 243-397)
Source: RNAcentral
GGUUUCCGUAGGUGAACCUGCGGAAGGAUCAUUAAUGAAAUUAUAAUCCGGCGAGGGGAAAGGCGGAGAGUUGUAGCUGGCCUCUAGGGGCAUGUGCACGCUCUCUUCCGGACCUUUCGCCGUAUGGGCGCGGGGCGACCCGCGUCUUCAUAUACCUCUUCGUGUAGAAAGUCUUUGAAUGUUUUACCAUCAUCGAGUCGCGACUUCUAGGAGACGCGAUUCUUUGAGAAAAAAGUUAUUACAACUUUCAGCAACGGAUCUCUUGGCUCUCGCAUCGAUGAAGAACGCAGCGAAUCGCGAUAUGUAAUGUGAAUUGCAGAUCUACAGUGAAUCAUCGAAUCUUUGAACGCACCUUGCGCUCCUCGGUGUUCCGAGGAGCAUGCCUGUUUGAGUGUCAGUAAAUUCUCAACCCCUCUCGAUUUGCUUCGAGCGGGUGCUUGGAUGUUGGGGGCUGCCGGAGACACUGGAUUCGUCCAGGACUCGGGCUCCUCUUAAAUGAAUCGGCUCGCGGUCGACUUUCGACUUUGCAUGACAAGGCCUUUGGCGUGAUAAUGAUCGCCGUUCGCCGAAGUGCAAGACAGAAUGGUCCCGUGCCUCUAAUGCGUCGACGCCUCUAGGGGCGUCUUCCUCAUUGACGUUUGACCUCAAAUCAGGUAGGACUACCCGC